Molecule: ribosomal RNA, 309 nt
Filed under: uncultured Anaeroplasmataceae bacterium
Lineage: Bacteria; Bacillati; Mycoplasmatota; Mollicutes; Anaeroplasmatales; Anaeroplasmataceae
Description: partial 16S ribosomal RNA
Source: RNAcentral
GGAGUUUGGACCGUGUCUCAGUUCCAAUGUGGCCGAUCACCCUCUCAGGUCGGCUACGCAUCCUCGCCUUGGUGGGCUGUUAUCUCACCAACUAGCUAAUGCGCCGCAGGUCCAUCUUUUAGUGACCCCUUGCAGGGCCUUUCAAACAGUUGAGAUGCCUCAUCUGUUGUUAUCCGGUAUUAGCCAAAGUUUCCUCUGGGUAUCCCAAGCUAAAAGGCAGGUUACCUACGUGUUACUCACCCGUUCGCCACUAGGGUGCAAGCACCCUCGUUCGACUUGCAUGUAUUAGGCACGCCGCCAGCGUUCAUC